This 915-nucleotide long non-coding RNA is filed under the name Setaria viridis. RNAcentral's name for it is "long non-coding RNA (SVIR_LNC011221)". The record is from RNAcentral. Lineage: Eukaryota; Viridiplantae; Streptophyta; Magnoliopsida; Poales; Poaceae.
GCCAUUGGAGAAGUAGGGAGGAAUGUAGAUGGGAGGAGAUGUCGGGGAAAACUGGAAGCUUAGGAAGGCGCCGGAGGAGGAAGAAGGCCUGUGCGCUAAAGGAGGAAGAUGUGAGCUCGUAAGGGGGAGUACGGAACGUGCUGAUAUUUAAAGGUGGUCAGAGAAGGGGUAAAAGCGGAAUUUUUACCGCGCCGGCGUUUCGAUUUUUUCGGGAGGAGUGGUUGUCGUGGGCGCCCGUUUCGAAAAGAUUGCAAUCAUCAGGCUGGAGACCGCGAAACGGAAGGGUAUUUUCAAUGCGUUUGUUUCGGAAGGGAAGUUGAAAAGAAUUUCGAAGUAAAAACUAUGUUUUACUCCGAAACUAGGGGGCAUGUGUUGACGCCAGAUUUUGACACGUAUAAAAUCGGCGUCAGGAAAGGAAGAAAUCAGGAGAUGCGGCAAGACACAGAGGUCACGGUUGGAAAUUGGCCGAUUGGUGCUACAGUCGAGGAUCGGCCGAUUGCCCUUUGAGGGUGGAACUCCGCCUCGCCCGACCCCUGAGUCCUGGGGUCGGAUGCGCCCGACCCUCCGAGGGAGGAACUCUGCCUCGCCCGACCUUAGGUCCCAGGGUCGGAGUAGUCGGAGCCCCCGACGUGUGGGCCGUAAUCGGUUGUCCCUUGUCGAUGGAGUUGGUAGAAAUCGGCCGAUUAGGAGGCUGGUGCAAUUGGGCCAGUGUGGGCUUAAAGUGGAUUAUGAAGAUAAAGAGGGAGUCAGCCCAUGAGAGCAUGAUGAUCAACUCCAGUACAAGUCAUACUUGUAAAUAUUCGUUUUUCGUUUAAAAUUAGAGAUAGAGUUCUAGUCGGUUAAGAAAUCGUUUGUAACAGGCUAUAAAUAGCCACCUUCAUAGAUCUGUAACCAUCAUCAACUCAAUACAACAAA